GACGAACGCUGGCGGCGUGCUUAACACAUGCAAGUCGAACGGUGAAGCGCCUUCCUUUUUGGUGGGUGUGGAUGAGUGGCGAACGGGUGAGUAACACGUGAGUAACCCGCCCCCUUCUUCUGGAUAACCGCAUGAAAGUGUGGCUAAUACGGGAUAUUCUGGUUCUGUCGCAUGAUGGGUCUGGGAAAGAUAUUGUUUCGGUGGGGGAUGGUCUCGCGGCCUAUCAGCUUGUUGGUGGGGUGAUGGCCUACCAAGGCGGUGACGGGUAGCCGGCCUGAGAGGGUGGACGGUCACACUGGGACUGAGACACGGCCCAGACUCCUACGGGAGGCAGCAGUGGGGAAUAGUGCACAAUGGGCGCAAGCCUGAUGCAGCGACGCCGCGUGAGGGAUGGAGGCCUGCGGGUUGUGAACCUCUUUCGCCAGUGAAGCAGGACUGCCUCGUUUGUGGGUGGGUUGACGGUAGCUGGAGAAGAAGCGCCGGCUAACUACGUG
RNAcentral lists this ribosomal RNA (494 nucleotides) under uncultured bacterium. RNAcentral describes it as "partial 16S ribosomal RNA". It matches the Rfam family "Bacterial small subunit ribosomal RNA", at positions 28 to 507 of the family's 1533-position model. The record is from RNAcentral.